GGGGAAUUUUGGACAAUGGGGGAAACCCUGAUCCAGCCAUCCCGCGUGUGCGAUGAAGGCCUUCGGGUUGUAAAGCACUUUUGUCAGGGAAGAAAAGGUUCUGGCUAAUAUCCGGAACUGAUGACGGUACCUGAAGAAUAAGCACCGGCUAACUACGUGCCAGCAGCCGCGGUAAUACGUAGGGUGCAAGCGUUAAUCGGAAUUACUGGGCGUAAAGCGUGCGCAGGCGGUUCGGAAAGAAGGAUGUGAAAUCCCAGGGCUCAACCUUGGAACUGCAUUCUUAACUACCGGACUAGAGUAUGUCAGAGGGGGGUAGAAUUCCGCGUGUAGCAGUGAAAUGCGUAGAUAUGCGGAGGAAUACCGAUGGCGAAGGCAGCCCCCUGGGAUAAUACUGACGCUCAUGCACGAAAGCGUGGGUAGCAAAC
RNAcentral lists this ribosomal RNA (425 nucleotides) under uncultured bacterium. RNAcentral describes it as "bacterial SSU rRNA". It matches the Rfam family "Bacterial small subunit ribosomal RNA", at positions 356 to 773 of the family's 1533-position model. The record is from RNAcentral.